AUGUAAGUUUUUGCAUGAGUAAUUAUUUAUUUUAAUAAUAGGUGAGUUUUACUAUACCCGCAGUAAGUAGCAUUAUAAAUUUAAGGUAACUUAGAUGUAGCUAUCCUGUAAGUGUUGGCUAAAUUUGUGCCAGCAGCCGCGGUUACACGAAUGACACAAAUAAAUUUUUGUCGGAGUAAGUUAGACUGUUGUAUAUGGAUUUAAUGUAGACUUAUUAGGUGAAAUUUUUAAGUCUAUAAAAAUUUAUUUUUUAUGUGUUGUUGAAGCUAGGAAAUUUUAUUAAUAAACUAGGAUUAGAUACCCUAUUAUUUGAAAUGUAGAAAAUAGAGGCUUUUAGGUAGUAGUAGUUAUGUUCUUGAAACUUAAAAAAUUUGGCGGUAUUUUAGUCUGUUCAGAGGAACCUGUCCUGUAAUCGAUAGUCCACGUUGGAUCUUACUCAAGUUUGUUAAAGUUUAUAUACCGUCGUUAUCAGAAUAUUUUAUUAGAAUAAUAAUUUUCUUUAGUUUUUAAAAAAAUGUAUAUCAGAUCAAGGUGUAGCUUAUGUUUGAGUAGAGAUGGGUUACAAUAAAUAAAUAUAUUUAUACGGAUUGGGAAGUGUAAUUUUUCUAUGAAGGUGGAUUUGAUAGUAAAAUUAUAAAGAUAGUUGGUUUGAUUUUAGCUCUAAAAUAUGCACACAUCGCCCGUCGCUCUUGCUAGUAAGGUAAGAUAAGUCGUAACAUAGUAGAUGUACUGGAAAGUGUAUCUAGAAUG
This 750-nucleotide non-coding RNA is filed under the name Senopterina varia. The record is from RNAcentral. Lineage: Eukaryota; Metazoa; Arthropoda; Insecta; Diptera; Platystomatidae.